RNAcentral lists this ribosomal RNA (464 nucleotides) under uncultured bacterium. RNAcentral's name for it is "partial 16S ribosomal RNA". It matches the Rfam family "Bacterial small subunit ribosomal RNA", at positions 28 to 506 of the family's 1533-position model. The record is from RNAcentral.
GACGAACGCUGGCGGCGUGCUUAACACAUGCAAGUCGUACGGUAAGGCCCUUUCGGGGGUACACGAGUGGCGAACGGGUGAGUAACACGUGAGUAACCUGCCCACAACUUUGGGAUAACGCUAGGAAACUGGUGCUAAUACUGGAUAUGUGCUCCUGCUGCAUGGUGGGGGUUGGAAAGCUCCGGCGGUUGGGGAUGGACUCGCGGCCUAUCAGCUUGUUGGUGGGGUAGUGGCCUACCAAGGCGGCGACGGGUAGCCGGCCUGAGAGGGUGACCGGCCACAUUGGGACUGAGAUACGGCCCAGACUCCUACGGGAGGCAGCAGUGGGGAAUAUUGCACAAUGGGCGCAAGCCUGAUGCAGCAACGCCGCGUGCGGGAUGACGGCCUUCGGGUUGUAAACCGCUUUCAGCAGGGACGAAGCUUUUUGUGACGGUACCUGCAGAAGAAGCACCGGCUAACUACGU